GGUAUAUUAAAUCAUGCUGAAUACCUUCUUGCAAUAUUUACACUUUAAUGAUAACCAAGCGUGUGUGCCGAAUACUGUGGAUUGUGAGCAUGCAGCACCAGAACCAGAAAACCUGUGAGGAGGCCAAGCUCUGUGAUAUCUUCCCCCUGCCACUUGCAAUGCAGUGGCCAGGACCCUUUCUGGUCCUCCCAAUAUUCAUCAGAAGCAACUUAGAAGGAAUGAUGCAAGAAUAAGUGUAUUACUGCGUGAGCUGUCACCAGUUGUGCCAAGGACUGUGGAUUGAAAAGUCAGGGGGGAAAAAAAGCAUUAAAAAUACCACUGCUAUGUUGCCCUGUGGGCUCACAGAAAUGUGACACAGAGAAGAAUUAGCCUUCUACGGUUUCAUGUUUCCCUGACCUUUUAAGAGGGGAAGAAAAAUCCAGAUCCAACUUCUGCUCCUACUUACAAUGCUGAAAGUACAGAGCAAAUGUAAUACGCUGUCUCCUGAGGUGCGAAAGCAGAGUUUCACAUUGUCUACUGAAAAGCAGAGAGAGAGCUGAGGUGUAAAGAUAAUUUAACAAAAGCUGUGUGAGUUCAAAGAUAAACCUCCAUCCCAGGCAAAUGUAGUUAUAGGAGUUUGAGUGUAAUUUUGGUGUUUAAGGAGAUCCAUUCAACCUGCUCUGGUGGGAUUUCUGCCUUGAUGUCAGUGUGAGGUAAAGCAGAAAACACGUGCCCUCAUAGGUGUGAGCCAGGGAUGUGCCACAGGGAGGACUCCUGGGCACCAGCACUGCCGCUGACAGCUUCUGGCAGUGGCAACUACUGCUGAUGCAUGUGGCAGGGAUGCUGUGACAGCACCUGCAAUCACACCACUUGACACUUGGGAAGGCCUUGAACCAUUGGCGUUAAGCUUGCACGUGCUACUUGAUAUGAAAACAAUUCCAGUUAGAAGAAAUUUCAGAAUUGUUAUUUUCGCUUAUGCAGCUGUUGACAAGCAAAACCUGCUUGGAUUCUACUUUAAUAACCUGCUGUGUGCUUCAGCAGGUUUUCUUUCUUUUGGCUUGGUUUCUUGGUUUUAUUUCCCACCUUCCACUAAAGGAAGUUUUUAUCUCAGAGAAAAUACAGGAGGUGGGCUGCAUCCUACCAGAAAUCCCACAUUGCCUGGCAGAAGCUCAUAGACAUGAACCAUCACAAUGAAUGCAAUACUGCACACAAGUAGCUUUUUUUACAAGCACAAGGUUGUUAAGCAAAGGAUGAGAAACAUGUGGAACACACUGCAGUUUGCCAGUGUAUGGCUGGGUUCCCAGGUCCGUGUACGUUCUUGCAGACAGGCUGCAGUUGUCAUGAUGCUAUUGCCAGGGAAGAUGUAAACAAAAGGAAACCUCUUGUCAAGUUUGAAGCAUUAGGUUAGUAAUACAAAAGAGUACUUCAUGGAAUCUUUCAGAUUGAUACACGCCAUCUAUUUGUCAGAGAUGUUUUUGUCUUAUGUGUAGUCAUACAGCCUCUUUGACGUAAGUCACCAUUUUUUAACAUUUUUUAAGUAACAGCAAUACUUACUAGGUGGUGAAACAGGGUAAUGAGCAAGAUCAGAGGAUCCUCUUGCAGAAGAGCAUGACUUAAAAUCCAUGUGUUUUAGGCAAAGCACUUCUGGAUUCACUUGAAGACUGACACAUGGACAUGUUUCCAUUGAAGUUGCUACAGGUUUGUCUUUAUGUAGGCCUCCACUAAAUUUUAUAGCUGGCAAUUAGUCUGGGAUGAAGUCUGGUUUCUCUCCCAACACUGCACAUGCAAUUGUGUAACCACUAAAAUUCCAAGCCUGGUUCUUAUGCUGGAUUAAAACAGUAGAUAGCGAGAUGAAAAGUCAUCCUUUCAAACUGUUCUUUCCCACUAUGACAGCUUACUUCAUGGAAGCAGCAGCCAUCUGACCUGGAUUACUUUUGGGUUGUGUUUCAUGCACACCACAUUCCCCUAGAAUUGCCACUGCUCCAAUAGCAAUGCCCUGCUCUGUGCAAGGCCUGCUGUUGCCCAGGGGCUUGUAUAUCUCUCUGCCCUCAGCUGGCACCAUGAUACUGCCCUGUGGCUGAUGCUGCCUCUGAGGUCUGCGGAAAUUGUAGAAUUGUGGUUAUGGUGGCACUGAAGCACUGGGAAGGGAUGGCACAUAUUUAAAAACUAUUUACUGAAACGUUGCUCUAAGGUGGGAAGGGAUUUCUCCCUUAAGGUGUGAUUGUCCCACAGCGUAGCAAAAUGCCAUCUCAGUUUUACAGCAUCAUCUGUGAGCUGUCUGGCCCAUAUAAUUUUUUCCCAUUUUGUUGUCAAUUACUGACUGGAGAGAUGAAGAAUGACACAUGCUUAAGUGCAUCAGUUAUCUCAAAUUCCUUCCCCUUAGGUCUAGCUUAGCCAAGAUUUACCAGAACAGUCUAUAAAAUGAAUAAGUUUCAGGGUUUUUUUUUGUUUUUCAGGUGAUAGGAGUUUUCUUUGGAAGACUGACAAAAGCACUGGAGCACAAGCUGGAGAGGUGAUGACUUACCUGCCACAGCUCGGUAGAUCGCAAUCUGGAACUGGCAGAGUGUUAACACAAUGCCCCAGCAGAGCUUUUCUGUCUCUAAUUUCAAUGAUUAUGUUGUUACUGGAUCAGUGAAGAGAACCAUGAAAAACACAAUUACCAGGAAGCCCUGUUCCUUCGCUCGCCUCUUUGUCUCACUGCGAAUGGGGCAUGUGACUGACGGAGCAAUAGAGGACCCGCUGUAAUCUCACGCACGACCGAGAAGGGUGCUGUCCGCCGAUGGGACCCGAGCGUGGGAAAGCCUCCCUGCCGGCUGCAAGGGCCAGUCACGUCAUGUUCUGCAGCUGGCAUCCAAAUGCAUCCUGAUGAAUCGAGUGAGAGCAGCUACCUUCUCCUGCCACAGCGGUGGCCGAGCGGCCGUGCAGAAGAGGGGCUGUAAAAGCCUCCCCGCAUGCAAAAGCACCGGGAAGGGACUAUGUUGUGAAUGAGCUUACUGUGACAGCACAGCAAUGUUUUAUAGGUCACUGGCAUAGCAUCAGACUAAAGGGAGAGGGGAUGAGUAUCUUUCAGCUGUGAGUGCUGCUCUCAGGUUUGCUCAGUGCAGGACUGUGGCUAGUGGGCCUGACCCAACCCUGUUAUGUGAUGCAUGGUGGGAAAAGAGAAAUUCACUUGCUCUCUGCACUCCAAAUCACAUAUAAACCUAUGACCUCAACAACAAAUACCAGUAGCAGCAAAGCAGCCAAUAUUUUUAUCAUUAAUUGCUAUCAGAAAUGUCAGCUCAAAGUCAUCAGAUUUGAUAGGCGAGCAUGCUCCAAACUGACAGGUGAAGUGAAUUAUUUGCCUAUUGCGUGAUGCAAAAACAAUGUCUUGCAGGAGAGAACAGACAUUGGCAAACAAACUGACAACGAGAUACACUUCUGGGGAAGGCUUCUGAUUUGAUCUGGAAGGAAACAUUGAGUAUAAAUACAGAGAAAGUUUACCUGCAUGAAAGGCAGGGUUGAGCCCUGGACUUCCUUACUCUUCUGGAGAACAGUGUGAAACAUACCUGCUAUUGUACUCCCUUUGAGCUGUUCUCAUUGCAAAAGGAUACCAGACACCUCAGAAAGUUUUUUAAGUAAUAAAGCAUUUUUUGCACUUGUCCCUGGUGCAUCCAUUUAUCAGUGACUAAUGAGCACAUAAAUCCUCGUAUGUGAAGAAAAAUCCGUUUAUCUUGGUGUUAAGCAGAAUUUUCCCUGCCCAUGGAUCUGCAGCACAAAUCUUUCUGGUCUUUCUGUGCUGAGGGUCUAAGCAUGGGCAGGCAGUACACGGUGCAGCACUGGCACAUUAAUUAUGUAACUACUAGGUACUACAGAUUGAAUCAGGACCUGUUUAAAUACUGGUAUAACCAUGAACAUCAUCCAGGACAUGUUUCUGUGCGAUUUAAUGACUGCCUUUAUUUCACACAGUGGGAAAAACCCCAUCUGGAAGCAGGAUUCCAGUGAAGGGAAAGUUAGCUAUGCCUGCCAGGGAUCUCUUUUGCCCCCAAAAAUUCAGACAUCACGGGACAUAAGCAGAAAAUGAAAGAGAACCAGCAAGGGGAAAACCAAACAGGCUGGGGUCUUCUUGCCACUUCUUUUGAAGUCCCCAGUGUAACUCCUGGCAUCUUCAGUGGGGUUUGGCUGGGUUCUGUGCAGAAGCGCCUUUGAAGAUUUUGCUAAGGCUCAAGGCCUUGAUCAUGGCAACUUUUAUGCCUGGGAGCAACUCUGUGCAGAUGAACACUUCCAGGGUGCUCAGCAGGAUGCUUUGGAUGAGACUUUGCAGGGCUAGUCUUAAGCAAUGAGAGCUUAAGAGAAAUAUUGUGGUUGUCGUGCUUUUAUCCUUGACCACAUCAAAUGAAAUGCCUUGGCAGUUCUGGAAGAAUGAAUUUUCAUUGAAAACCCACAGCUCUUACAAGCAGUGCAUUAAUUAUUUUAUUAAUUUGCUCUUUUUACAUUAUGGGAAACAUUCAGCUAUUUACAUUUUCCUGUCCACACACAAACCAGAUAGAUAAUCCUAUAGAAACCCAAAUCAUUAAGCCAUAAAAACACUCUUUUCUGUCUAAAGGCUUUCAAAUUUGUGUCUUUUGUUUCAAAUCAAAAACAUUUUUAAAAUCACAUUUGGGAAUGCAGGUAGGCCAGUGAUUUACAUUCUACUUAAAAUAUGCAUUUGACUGUUUUCCUUAAAAAAAACCCCAAAAACCAAGAAACCAAAACCCCCAAUAAAUCCACAAAGAUACAGCUUAAAUUAAAAUGAUAGUGCACAUCAAAGCAUUAAGGGAACACCAAUAAAUAAAAUGAAAUAUAUUACAAAUAAAUUAUUUCUAUUUACCUUUUCAAAUAUUAAAAAUCUUUAAUCCAUUUCUUCAUCUUUCUUUACAAAAAGAUUAUGAGAAUUUUAUGGAAACAUCUGCAAAAAAUAUAAUAAAUACCUCUUUUUUAUUUUUUAAGCUUUUGAAGCAGGAGACAAAACCAACCUUUUCUAAAAUUUCCCCCAAGAAAAAAAAAAAAGCAACAGUUUAGUCCCAAAGUGAAACAGAAUAUAGGCAUUUUUAAAAUAUACUGGGCAUUUUAGACUAAAAACAAAUAGUUACAAAUUAUACUAAAACAGAUGAUGGAGCAAAUAUACUAGCAUUAGUUUUUGUAAAUGAGUCAAGUGGUUAACUAGUGGCAUCCUAUGGGCACAAUUAUUAUAUUUUGCAUUUUCUGGUAUUGGCUGUAUUUUUAAUAUUUUGCUAAAAAACUAGGCAAACAUUAUAAUAACCUCUCCGGUGCCAAACGAACUAACAAUCAUUCAGCUAAGAUAAAUUCAUUUAAAAUAGAUACAAAAAAUAUUCUAUGAUAUACAAAUACAAUAAUUUGUAAUGUACAAGACUAGAUAGUCUUCACUUUUCUGCUUUUUUAGGGGGGAACUUGCUGGAUAUAAAUUUCUGUAGCCACUUGUCAACCAAAGUCUUAACUCAUCUUUCGUAAAACGUUCACAAAACUAAGUAAGUCUGCAACACAGUUGUGAAUGUGGACUCUCACCUAGGUACUGCUUUGAAUAAUUCAGUACAAAUGAGUUCCAAAUAAUUAAUACUUCCUAUGACUAUAUAUGCUCAAAAGUGGCAGUUGGCACUAUUACAUACUGCAAACACGGUGAUGUUUUGUUGCUGCUAAAAGUUAAACGCAGUGUUUCAAAACUAGCAAAUACACUGGUAUUCAAACGCUUAGAGGGUCAAACCUUUUGAAGCUCCUGUAACAGCAAGCACUCUAGAGUUACACUGGAUUUCUCAUUACUCUAGUUAAAAGUCUUUUAUAUAUUAAAUUAUUAGCCCUUAUCUUGUAAACCACAGCAGUAAAUAUUUGUGCCCUGUUUAUAAAGACAUAGCUCAGAUAUCGAUGGCUUUGAGAGGUAGCAAAUUCUCUAGUGGUUUUAGUAUGCUCUCAUGAAAAUACUUGGUGCCAGAACCUAUUACCUCUCCUAUUUUCUCAAAAAAAAUUAAAUAAGCACCUGGCUAUGAUGUCAUAGGAAAAGAAGCUGUCUGGCAUGGUCUCGAUGGAUACUUUUAGCAAGAGCUUAAUUUUUCAAUGACGAUUUUCAACGCUUUUUAAGUGCAAGCUGCAGAAUUACACCACAUGUGUAGUGGGCUAUUUACUGGUUGGACUGUCCAUACAGGUUGA
Taeniopygia guttata (zebra finch) is the source of this 6156-nucleotide long non-coding RNA. RefSeq lists it as uncharacterized. NCBI's taxonomy places the organism in Eukaryota, Metazoa, Chordata, Aves, Passeriformes, Estrildidae. The record is from RefSeq and is a predicted model, not a curated record.